UACAGAGGUCCCAAGCGUUGUUCGGAUUCACUGGGCGUAAAGGGUGCGUAGGUGGCCAGGUAAGUUCGGUGUGAAAGCUCGGAGCUUAACUCCGAAAUGGCAUUGAAUACUAUCUGGCUGGAGGGUCGGAGGGGAGACUGGAAUUCUCGGUGUAGCAGUGAAAUGCGUAGAUAUCGAGAGGAACACCAGUGGCGAAGGCGAGUCUCUGGGCCAUAACUGACGCUGAGAAGCGAAAAGCAUGGGGGAGCGAACAGG
This 255-nucleotide ribosomal RNA is filed under the name uncultured bacterium. RNAcentral's name for it is "partial 16S ribosomal RNA". It matches the Rfam family "Bacterial small subunit ribosomal RNA", at positions 524 to 776 of the family's 1533-position model. The record is from RNAcentral.